RNAcentral lists this ribosomal RNA (505 nucleotides) under uncultured bacterium. Its description in RNAcentral is "partial 16S ribosomal RNA". It matches the Rfam family "Bacterial small subunit ribosomal RNA", at positions 28 to 507 of the family's 1533-position model. The record is from RNAcentral.
GACGAACGCUGGCGGCGUGCCUAAUACAUGCAAGUAGAACGCACAGUUUAUACCGUAGCUUGCUACACCAUAGACUGUGAGUUGCGAACGGGUGAGUAACGCGUAGGUAACCUGCCUGGUAGCGGGGGAUAACUAUUGGAAACGAUAGCUAAUACCGCAUAAUAUUGAUUAUUGCAUGAUAAUUAAUUGAAAGGUGCAAUUGCACCACUACCAGAUGGACCUGCGUUGUAUUAGCUAGUAGGUGAGGUAACGGCUCACCUAGGCGACGAUACAUAGCCGACCUGAGGAGGUGAUCGGCCACACUGGGACUGAGACACGGCCCAGACUUCUACGGGAGGCAGCAGUAGGGAAUCUUCGGCAAUGGACGAAAGUCUGACCGAGCAACGCCGCGUGAGGGAAGAAGGUUUUCGGAUCGUAAAGCUCUGUUGUAAGAGAAGAACGGGUGUGAGAGUGGAAAGUUCACACUGUGACGGUAUCUUACCAGAAAGGGACGGCUAACUACGUG